GAACUUAGCAGAGAUUGCUUUGGUGGCCUUCGGGAACUCUGAGACAGGUGCUGCAUGGCUGUCGUCAGCUCGUGUUGUGGAAAUGUUGGGUUAAGUCCCGCCAACGAGCGCAACCCUUAUCCUUUGUUGCCAGCGGCUCGGCCGGGAACUCAAAGGAGACUGCCGGUGAUAAACCGGAGGAAGGUGGGGAUGACGUCAAGUCAUCAUGGCCCUUACGGCCAGGGCUACACACGUGCUACAAUGGCGCAUACAAAGAGAAGCGACCUCGCGAGAGCAAGCGGACCUCACAAAGUGCGUCGUAGUCCGGAUUGGAGUCUGCAACUCGACUCCAUGAAGUCGGAAUCGCUAGUAAUCGUAGAUCAGAAUGCUACGGUGAAUACGUUCCCGGGCCUUGUACACACCGCCCGUCACACCAUGGGAGUGGGUUGCAAAAGAAGUAGGUAGCUUAACCUUCGGGAGGGCGCUUACCACUUUGUGAUUCAUGACUGGGGUGAAGUCGUAACAAGGUAAGCGUAGCGAG
RNAcentral lists this ribosomal RNA (520 nucleotides) under uncultured bacterium. Its description in RNAcentral is "bacterial SSU rRNA". It matches the Rfam family "Bacterial small subunit ribosomal RNA", at positions 993 to 1509 of the family's 1533-position model. The record is from RNAcentral.